This is a long non-coding RNA of Hyaena hyaena (striped hyena), 1943 nucleotides long. RefSeq lists it as uncharacterized. NCBI's taxonomy places the organism in Eukaryota, Metazoa, Chordata, Mammalia, Carnivora, Hyaenidae. The record is from RefSeq and is a predicted model, not a curated record. The transcript has 4 exons.
CUCCCAGGCCGAGCGAACAGAACAGUCUAGAACAGAGCCUCUCUCUCAACCCCCAGAACAAGAGAGGUUUACUUGAGGCACCGCCUUGUGUCGAUGAUGCCAACGACCCCACAACAGAAGACGAAGGGGAGGGGUGCAGUUAAGUGCCAUGCAUAGCUGCCCCAGGCUCACAGAAGGAUCUAGAAGGCACUCACGAUGAGGGGCUCUGCUCACAGCAAGCAGUUAGGACGAAACUCCAUUGAGCCACUGAGGGCCUCGAGUUGCCGACCUUCGGGCCAGGCGCUAGGCAGGUCCGGGGACAGGAAGAUGAAGGAGAUGAAGCGGGCGCCCUCUGGGCCACUUGCAGCGGAAAACAGACAACAAAAUGCAACAGGAGAAACAUAAAAGAUGACGCAUCCAAAGUCCCAGAUGCACAGACGAGCAGUAUUUGGUGGUUUUCCCACUUCAUUUUCAGCCCCAGAAAUCACAGCACAAUGGGAAAAAUUCCAAACAUUUCCAAAAAACAUUUUUUUUUUUUUAUUUUAAGCAGGCUCCAUGCCCAGUGCGGGGCUUGAACUCACGACCCUGAGAUCAAGAGUCACAUGCUCCACCGACUGAGCCGGCCGGGAGCCCCUAAAUCUUCUUCUUCGCAGUCUGAAUGUCUUCCGCCUCAAAGACACAAGUUAAGUGUGCUUAUUUUAAUAUUUAUUAAUAAGAUAAAUAAUACACAUAAAUUACAAAGAGAGAAAUUACAUCAGUCGACAGGUAGCCACGCCUCAUGCCCAAAAAUGAAAGCGGCAAUUUGGAACUGGUGCCUUGAUGGAAAAGCGCUUCAGUCGGGCCUCCUUUAAACGCUGCCAGUGAGUCAGCACCGCACAGAACACCCCCGGGCCGGGCUCUGCCUCCCUGUCAACUGCGGCAAAGUGUUAACACGACGUAACCCUCGGCCCACAUCCAGACAGGCAAAUGGAAAUCUAAAUGGAGUCUCCAAUUUUCUUCCCUGCCCCCGGCGCCCCGCGAGCCCACUCUGAGGGGGGGUUAGCACCCCCCAUCCCGGGGUACUCCGGGGGAAGCAGGCGGCACCGUGGCUGUUCUGUGGGCUCCGCGGGGAACGCUCGCCGCCCGGCACAGUCCUGACUGGGGGGGGCGGCGCGGACACAGCACGUCUCUCCUCGAUGUUCUUCGGAGCGAGCCGCCCGUCCGCCCACCGUCGCGGAAGACGCGCAGGAGGAGACGCUGAGCCGGGUGGGGGGGGGGGGGGCGGCUGAAGAGUCGCCAGUCCGCCCACAGAAUCCCGAGGCCGCGGCGUCCGGAGAAGUUUCUCGGGCAGCGACGCUCCCGGACGCAUCCGUCUAGUCCCUCUCCUCCUCCUCCCCCUCGUGCACCUGCUUCCUAACCAAGAACAGGCCCCUGGCCGCCCCGAGCCUGCGUCAGACGGCAGCCAGGAAGAACGACCACAGAGAGCCGCCGCGAGGACGGGAUGGCACACGUGGAGCGGCCGGUGCCCGCGCGGCACCAAACGUGGCAGCCGCGCUCCACGCUUGGGCUCCGAGGUGCGAGGCGAUGACCGCCGCCACCAGGAAGGAGGAAGGGGGGGUGACAGGAGGUCCGGCACCGGUCAGGGGGCUUCGAUCACGCCUGCGACGUGGCCGGGCAGCGCGUCUCCGUGCGGGGCGCUCGAUGCCAGCUUGAUGGGCCCCAGAGCCAAGACAGAAGGGGAAACCGGAGGGUAAGCCCUGCUCGCUCACAGGGACGAGCACAGACGUCACAGUGAGCCGUCGGUGCUGGCCGCGCGCUCCUCGGGCCCUAAACCAAUGACCGUGGGCUCCCCGCAGAAGCAAAAGGGUGCUUUUAAAGGCGUCCAGAGUCACUGGUACCUCGCGGCGGUUGGGUCAUCCUAUCUUUCCCUGGCCCUUCUCUAAACUUGUAACUUCCCCGUUGUGGAAUAUCAUUGACUUGACCUC